GAUCAUCUGAACUCCUAGAGAAGGACGUUCCCCUUCGGGGGACAGAGUGACAGGUGGUGCAUGGUUGUCCUCCUCUCGUGUCGUGAGAUGUUGGGUUAAGUCCCGCAACGAGCGCAACCCUUGAUCUUAGUUGCCAGCAUUCAGUUGGGCACUCUAAGGUGACUGCCGGUGACAAACCGGAGGAAGGUGGGGAUGACGUCAAAUCAUCAUGCCCCUUAUGACCUGGGCUACACACGUGCUACAAUGGAUGGUACAAAGGGCUGCAAGACCGCGAGGUUUAGCCAAUCCCAUAAAACCAUUCUCAGUUCGGAUUGCAGGCUGCAACUCGCCUGCAUGAAGCCGGAAUCGCUAGUAAUCGCGGAUCAGCAUGCCGCGGUGAAUACGUUCCCGGGCCUUGUACACACCGAA
RNAcentral lists this ribosomal RNA (408 nucleotides) under Bacillus pichinotyi. RNAcentral describes it as "bacterial SSU rRNA". It matches the Rfam family "Bacterial small subunit ribosomal RNA", at positions 985 to 1394 of the family's 1533-position model. The record is from RNAcentral. Lineage: Bacteria; Bacillati; Bacillota; Bacilli; Caryophanales; Bacillaceae.